RNAcentral lists this ribosomal RNA (406 nucleotides) under uncultured bacterium. RNAcentral describes it as "partial 16S ribosomal RNA". It matches the Rfam family "Bacterial small subunit ribosomal RNA", at positions 30 to 526 of the family's 1533-position model. The record is from RNAcentral.
AUUGAAAGCUGGCGGCAGGCCUAACACAUGCAAGUCGUGCGAGCGGCGGACGGGUGAGUAAUGUAUGGGGAUCUGCCUGAUGGAGGGGGAUAACUACUGGAAACGGUAGCUAAUACCGCAUACCAUCAGAUGAACCCAUAUGGGCUGAGCUUGUAGGUGAGGUAACGGCUCACCUAGGCGACGAUCCCUAGCUGGUCUGAGAGGAUGAUCAGUCACACUGGGACUGAGACACGGCCCAGACUCCUACGGGAGGCAGGAGUGGGGAAUGUUGCACAAUGGGCGCAAGCCUGAUACAGCCAUGCCGCGUGUAUGAAGAAGGACGUCGGGUUGUAAAAUACUGUCAGUCGGGAUGCGUUACAGAAAGAAGAAGCACGGGCGAACUCCGUGCCAGAAGCCGCGGUAAGUC